AGACUCUGGUUCUUUACAACCUUUUAUUUUGAUUGAGCUUACGAAUCAAUUACUCUGCCACUGAUUGCGCACUACAACAAAGGGAAAGGGUUCCCUUUAUAUCUUUUGUGGCUCGUGGCAAAGGAACAACACUCUCUUACGUGCCUUUGCUUCUUUCUUUCUUUUCAUCUAGCGAAUUCAUAGAUAUUCAAUCUGCAGUGACCCUUUCUCUCUAUCUCUUUUUCUCGCAUUACUACCUUCUCCUCCUUACCAUUUUCACAUACCUUUUUAUUGCUCCCAUUUCUUUCUCUCUCUCUACAUCCUUUCUUGCUGAUAAAGCAACUCUUUCUUCUUCAGUUCCAUUCCAUUCCUCACAAGAGUCUCUGCAUUCUUGAUUUCACAAGAACAUACCCUCUCUGCAAGAACCCAUUUUUCACUUUUUCAGCUUCGUAUAUUCGGAUUCUCGGGAGUGAAAAUGUUCGAUGCGCCCAAAUUCUAUUCCAAGUGCAAAUCGCGGUUGAAGUUAACAAACGCAAGAAAAGGAGCGCGGUGCUGAGAUUUCUCAAGAAAGACAUGGCCGACCUUCUUGGGAGUUCCCUUGAUUACAAUGCAUAUGGAAGGUUUUUAUUGGUGGCACAAACAGAUAACAUUGAGACAUCAGCAUGCCUCAUAAAUCCUCAGCAAGUGAAGUAUGGUUGCUUUUAAACAUUUUAAAUGAGUGGAGGGGGUCUACAUUGAUGUUGACUGACUUUUAUUGUAUAUGUUGUCGUUUUCUCCUCAAUGGAAAAGGAGUACUCAAUAGGACUAAUGUUCAAAUGGAUCCUGGACCACAGGUGCCAACUAAUGUGACUGGUAUGCUUAAAUUUGGGACAAAUCUUCUUCAAGCUGUGGGCCAGUUCAAUGGUCGUUAUGUUGUACUAGUUGCCUAUGAGUUUUACACCUUUGCUUGAGGAUCCAGUUCUUCAAGAUUAUCUUCAGCCUGCUGUUACAUCUGUUGAUUCAGAUUUAGAUAUUAUCGAGGGGGCUUCACAGAUUUCACUUAAUUGUCCAAUAAGGUAAAACCCUUGCUCUAAAAUCUUCCCAUGAUUCUGAUUCCUUGUCUUCUGGGAUUGCCAAAUCUGAUAAAGUACUUAUUCCUCAAGAUCAAGAUAACUCUGCAUCCUUGACAGAUCAACUUGAAACUCCUGAUAUAACCUCAUAGGAUACACAGAUCCGCAUGGAUACUCCCUCUGGAAUCAAGGACUCAAUUCCUGCUUGGAUUAAGUUUUCUGUACAGGCUCCUGGUGAAAUUCCAUACAGGGGAAUAUACUAUGAUCCCCUAGAAGAGGUAAGAUUGUAGACUUCUUACAUGUAGGAUACACUUAGAAAAAGAGAUGACAAAUCUAAAUAUCUCUUUUUCCAUUAUGGGAUAGAAUUGUAUCUAUGGCCUCUCUUUGUAGUACUCAUCAUGGUUUCAACAGAACUUUUAAUGCUGAUAUGCAAUGAUGUUGAAAGUUUUGUAGUUUUUUUUAAGCCAUUGCCAAACUCUGGCUUUUUUCUUAUAUUAGGAAGAAAUAUCCCCCACUCUUUUGCCCAAAGGGAUAAUGUUA
This is a long non-coding RNA of Glycine soja, 1568 nucleotides long. RefSeq lists it as uncharacterized. The record is from RefSeq and is a predicted model, not a curated record. The transcript has 8 exons. Lineage: Eukaryota; Viridiplantae; Streptophyta; Magnoliopsida; Fabales; Fabaceae.